Molecule: microRNA precursor, 114 nt
Organism: Chlorocebus sabaeus (green monkey)
Lineage: Eukaryota; Metazoa; Chordata; Mammalia; Primates; Cercopithecidae
Source: Ensembl
UUUAGGGGCUGAUGAAAGUAGAGUUCAGUAGACAACCCUUUUCAAGCCCUGCAAGAAACUGGGGUUUCUGGAGGAGAAGGAAGGUGCUGAAGGGGCUGCUCUUGUGAGCCUGAA